This 468-nucleotide ribosomal RNA is filed under the name uncultured bacterium. RNAcentral's name for it is "partial 16S ribosomal RNA". It matches the Rfam family "Bacterial small subunit ribosomal RNA", at positions 28 to 507 of the family's 1533-position model. The record is from RNAcentral.
GACGAACGCUGGCGGCGUGCUUAACACAUGCAAGUCGAACGGAAAGGCCCUGCUUUUGUGGGGUGCUCGAGUGGCGAACGGGUGAGUAACACGUGAGUAACCUGCCCUUGACUUUGGGAUAACUUCAGGAAACUGGGGCUAAUACCGGAUAGGAGCUCCUGCUGCAUGGUGGGGGUUGGAAAGUUUCGGCGGUUGGGGAUGGACUCGCGGCUUAUCAGCUUGUUGGUGGGGCAGUGGCUUACCAAGGCUUUGACGGGUAGCCGGCCUGAGAGGGUGACCGGCCACAUUGGGACUGAGAUACGGCCCAGACUCCUACGGGAGGCAGCAGUGGGGAAUAUUGCACAAUGGGCGGAAGCUUGAUGCAGCAACGCCGCGUGCGGGAUGACGGCCUUCGGGUUGUAAACCGCUUUCGCCUGUGACGAAGCGUGAGUGACGGUAAUGGGUAAAGAAGCACCGGCUAACUACGUG